RNAcentral lists this ribosomal RNA (497 nucleotides) under uncultured bacterium. RNAcentral's name for it is "partial 16S ribosomal RNA". It matches the Rfam family "Bacterial small subunit ribosomal RNA", at positions 28 to 507 of the family's 1533-position model. The record is from RNAcentral.
GAUGAACGCUGGCGGCGUGCCUAAUACAUGCAAGUCGAGCGAACAGACGAGGGGCUUGCUCCUCUGACGUUAGCGGCGGACGGGUGAGUAACACGUGGAUAACCUACCUAUAAGACUGGGAUAACUUCGGGGAACCGGAGCUAAUACCGGAUAAUAUAUUGAACCGCAUGGUUCAAUAGUGAAAGACGGUUUUGCUGUCACUUAUAGAUGGAUCCGCGCCGCAUUAGCUAGUUGGUAAGGUAACGGCUUACCAAGGCGACGAUGCGUAGCCGACCUGAGAGGGUGAUCGGCCACACUGGAACUGAGACACGGUCCAGACUCCUACGGGAGGCAGCAGUAGGGAAUCUUCCGCAAUGGGCGAAAGCCUGACGGAGCAACGCCGCGUGAGUGAUGAAGGUCUUCGGAUCGUAAAACUCUGUUAUUAGGGAAGAACAAAUGUGUAAGUAACUAUGCACGUCUUGACGGUACCUAAUCAGAAAGCCACGGCUAACUACGUG